Molecule: ribosomal RNA, 253 nt
Filed under: uncultured bacterium
Lineage: Bacteria
Description: partial 16S ribosomal RNA
Rfam family: Bacterial small subunit ribosomal RNA
Source: RNAcentral
UACAGAGGUCUCAAGCGUUGUUCGGAUUCAUUGGGCGUAAAGGGUGCGUAGGCGGCGCGGUAAGUCGGGUGUGAAAUCUCGGAGCUUAACUCCGAAACUGCAUUCGAUACUGCUGUGCUUGAGGACUGGAGAGGAGACUGGAAUUUACGGUGUAGCGGUGAAAUGCGUAGAUAUCGUAAGGAAGACCAGUGGCGAAGGCGGGUCUCUGGACAGUUCCUGACGCUGAGGCACGAAAGCGUGGGGAGCAAACAGG